This 1485-nucleotide ribosomal RNA is filed under the name uncultured bacterium. RNAcentral's name for it is "16S ribosomal RNA". It matches the Rfam family "Bacterial small subunit ribosomal RNA". The record is from RNAcentral.
GUUUGAUUAUGGCUCAGGAUGAACGCUAGCUACAGGCUUAACACAUGCAAGUCGAGGGGCAGCAUGAACUUAGCUUGCUAAGUUUGAUGGCGACCGGCGCACGGGUGAGUAACACGUAUCCAACCUGCCGAUGACUCGGGGAUAGCCUUUCGAAAGAAAGAUUAAUACCCGAUGGCAUAGUUCUUCCGCAUGGUAGAACUACUAAAGGAUUUCGGUCAUCGAUGGGGAUGCGUUCCAUUAGGUUGUUGGCGGGGUAACGGCCCACCAAGCCUUCGAUGGAUAGGGGUUCUGAGAGGAAGGUCCCCCACAUUGGAACUGAGACACGGUCCAAACUCCUACGGGAGGCAGCAGUGAGGAAUAUUGGUCAAUGGACGAGAGUCUGAACCAGCCAAGUAGCGUGAAGGAUGACCGCCCUAUGGGUUGUAAACUUCUUUUAUACGGGAAUAAAGUGAGGCACGUGUGCCUUUUUGUAUGUACCGUAUGAAUAAGGAUCGGCUAACUCCGUGCCAGCAGCCGCGGUAAUACGGAGGAUCCGAGCGUUAUCCGGAUUUAUUGGGUUUAAAGGGAGCGUAGGCGGACGCUUAAGUCAGUUGUGAAAGUUUGCGGCUCAACCGUAAAAUUGCAGUUGAUACUGGGUGUCUUGAGUACAGUAGAGGCAGGCGGAAUUCGUGGUGUAGCGGUGAAAUGCUUAGAUAUCACGAAGAACUCCGAUUGCGAAGGCAGCUUGCUGGACUGUAACUGACGCUGAUGCUCGAAAGUGUGGGUAUCAAACAGGAUUAGAUACCCUGGUAGUCCACACAGUAAACGAUGAAUACUCGCUGUUUGCGAUAUACAGUAAGCGGCCAAGCGAAAGCGUUAAGUGUUCCACCUGGGGAGUACGCCGGCAACGGUGAAACUCAAAGGAAUUGACGGGGGCCCGCACAAGCGGAGGAACAUGUGGUUUAAUUCGAUGAUACGCGAGGAACCUUACCCGGGCUUGAAUUGCAACUGAAUGAUGUGGAGACAUGUCAGCCGCAAGGCAGUUGUGAAGGUGCUGCAUGGUUGUCGUCAGCUCGUGCCGUGAGGUGUCGGCUUAAGUGCCAUAACGAGCGCAACCCUUAUCGAUAGUUACCAUCAGGUUAUGCUGGGGACUCUGUCGAGACUGCCGUCGUAAGAUGUGAGGAAGGUGGGGAUGACGUCAAAUCAGCACGGCCCUUACGUCCGGGGCUACACACGUGUUACAAUGGGGGGUACAGAAGGCAGCUACACGGCGACGUGAUGCUAAUCCCUAAAGCCUCUCUCAGUUCGGAUUGGAGUCUGCAACCCGACUCCAUGAAGCUGGAUUCGCUAGUAAUCGCGCAUCAGCCACGGCGCGGUGAAUACGUUCCCGGGCCUUGUACACACCGCCCGUCAAGCCAUGAAAGCCGGGGGUACCUGAAGUGCGUAACCGCAAGGAGCGCCCUAGGGUAAAACUGGUGAUUGGGGCUAAGUCGUAACAAGGUAACC